UUCAACUUUCACGGCGAAGCCGUCAAUAAUUAGUCCAUCGGAGUCCCUGCAGAUACCAGCUAUCGAUCCCUCCAAGGCAUCGCUGAUCCAAGAUCCGUCAACGUUAUAUUUCAUGGUCCCCUUCUCCGGGGGAACCCAUCGGACAGGUUCUCGGACAUGGCUUCAGCCCUUGGAAGACCAGGUUAUUGCGGCCCUUCCAGAUCCGCCAAAGUAUUCCAGCGAAAAGCUCGUUCGACAGUGAAGUAGAGUCCGAGAGGAUGAACAAGUGUUCCAAUGUUUCUGGUGCUCGACCACAAACAGGGCACAGUGGGUCAGGUACAAUAUUUCUCUUAAAGAGAUUUUCUUUCGUGGGGAGGGCAUUGUUGCAUAUGCUCCACAAGAAAAACUUGAUCUUUGGGUAAGUGUGCAAUAGCCAAAUUGAAUUCCACAACUUUCUG
This is a long non-coding RNA of Rhodamnia argentea, 437 nucleotides long. RefSeq lists it as uncharacterized. The transcript is spliced from 3 exons. The record is from RefSeq and is a predicted model, not a curated record. Lineage: Eukaryota; Viridiplantae; Streptophyta; Magnoliopsida; Myrtales; Myrtaceae.